UUUUCUUAGUGGAUUUUCUUUGCGUGAUUGGUCCCGUGGGUUUUUCACUCCGGAUUGGAGUUUUCCCACGUUAAAUUCUCGGUGUGCUGUUUUAUUUUUCGCUAUUUCGUUUUAUUUGCAUCGAGAUUUUUGUGUUUGCCGUUUUUACACCUAUUCACCCCCCUCUAGGUGUUACUUACCUUUUAGAUCCUCGGGAUCCAUAUCU
RNAcentral lists this long non-coding RNA (205 nucleotides) under Ananas comosus (pineapple). Its description in RNAcentral is "long non-coding RNA (ACOM_LNC042222)". Lineage: Eukaryota; Viridiplantae; Streptophyta; Magnoliopsida; Poales; Bromeliaceae. The record is from RNAcentral.